UUGAAUUUAUAAAAUAUUUCAUUCAAUUGAACAACUUUAUAGCAAUUGUUUUCUCUUCUCCUUCCUCUUUUUAUUCAUUUUUUCCGAAGGAGUAUGUAUUGACAUGUAUUGAAAUAUUACAAACAUAAUUCCUUUUUUUUCUUUCUCUUAUCCUUCUAUUUUUUCUUCCUCUUAUCCUUCUAUUUUUUCAUUCCUUUUUUUUUUCUUUUCUAUUUUCUUUUUCUAUUUUUUUAAUUCUUUUUCUACCAUCUUCUGAAAUAUUACAAACAUAAUUAUUCAACCUCACACAACUCCAAACAAGACUCUUUCAACCCUUUGAAUAGGGUGAUAAUAUUGUUUUUUACUUCUCGGCUUGUAAUGAGUUUUAAACAAAAAAGGGAGAAUAAGCUCAAGGGGAUUUCAAACAAGGGAUGAAAUUAUUUCAGGGUUGGCUUUUUGGCUAACUGGCUAAAAAAAACAAAAAAACAAAAACAAAA
RNAcentral lists this long non-coding RNA (476 nucleotides) under Lathyrus oleraceus (garden pea). RNAcentral's name for it is "Pisum sativum (pea) long non-coding RNA (PSAT_LNC028796)". Lineage: Eukaryota; Viridiplantae; Streptophyta; Magnoliopsida; Fabales; Fabaceae. The record is from RNAcentral.